AUUCGUAUUUGACUUACAUUCUGGAAAACUGCACAGAGAAUUCCAUCAUGGACCUGACCCAACUGAUACAGCCCCAGGAGAGCCCAAGAUGUAGCAAGCAGUCCACCUGAGAGCUCCUUCCAGAAACUAGCACCCAGUGAAUAUAGGUAUACUCUAUUGAGGGAUCGAGAUGAGCUUUAAAAACUUGAAAAACAGUUUGUAAGCCUUUCAACAGCAGCAUCAACCUACGUGGUGGAAAUAGUAAACCUAUAUUUUCAUAAUUCUAUGUGUAUUUUUAUUUUGAAUAAACAGAAAGAAAUUUUGGGUUUUUAAUUUUUUUCUCCCCGACUCAAAAUGCAUUGUCAUUUAAUAUAGUAGCCUCUUAAAAAAAAAAAACCUGCUAGGAUUUAAAAAUAAAAAUCAGAGGCCUAUCUCCACUUUAAAUCUGUCCUGUAAAAGUUUUAUAAAUCAAAUGAAAGGUGACAUUGCCAGAAACUUACCAUUAACUUGCACUACUAGGGUAGGGAGGACUUAGGGAUGUUUCCUGUGUCGUAUGUGCUUUUCUUUCUUUCAUAUGAUCAAUUCUGUUGGUAUUUUCAGUAUCUCAUUUCUCAAAGCUAAAGAGAUAUACAUUCUGGAUACUUGGGAGGGGAAUAAAUUAAAGUUUUCACACU
RNAcentral lists this long non-coding RNA (653 nucleotides) under Homo sapiens (human). Its description in RNAcentral is "HSALNT0153112". Lineage: Eukaryota; Metazoa; Chordata; Mammalia; Primates; Hominidae. The record is from RNAcentral.